This 466-nucleotide ribosomal RNA is filed under the name uncultured bacterium. RNAcentral's name for it is "partial 16S ribosomal RNA". It matches the Rfam family "Bacterial small subunit ribosomal RNA", at positions 28 to 507 of the family's 1533-position model. The record is from RNAcentral.
GAUGAACGCUGGCGGCGUGCUUAACAUAUGCAAGUCGAACGAUGAAGCCCAGCUUGCUGGGUGGAUUAGUGGCGAACGGGUGAGUAACACGUGAGUAACCUGCCCUUGACUCUGGGAUAAGCCUGGGAAACUGGGUCUAAUACUGGAUAUGACUUCUCAUCGCAUGGUGGGGGGUGGAAAGAUUUAUUGGUCUUGGAUGGACUCGCGGCCUAUCAGCUUGUUGGUGAGGUAAUGGCUCACCAAGGCGACGACGGGUAGCCGGCCUGAGAGGGUGACCGGCCACACUGGGACUGAGACACGGCCCAGACUCCUACGGGAGGCAGCAGUGGGGAAUAUUGCACAAUGGGCGCAAGCCUGAUGCAGCGACGCCGCGUGAGGGAUGACGGCCUUCGGGUUGUAAACCUCUUUCAGUAGGGAAGAAGCGAGAGUGACGGUACCUGCAGAAGAAGCGCCGGCUAACUACGUG